This 253-nucleotide ribosomal RNA is filed under the name uncultured bacterium. RNAcentral's name for it is "partial 16S ribosomal RNA". It matches the Rfam family "Bacterial small subunit ribosomal RNA", at positions 524 to 776 of the family's 1533-position model. The record is from RNAcentral.
UACGAAGGGUGCAAGCGUUACUCGGAAUUACUGGGCGUAAAGGGUGCGUAGGUGGUCGUUUAAGUCCGUUGUGAAAUCCCUGGGCUCAACCUGGGAAUGGCAGUGGAUACUGGACGGCUAGAAUGCGGUAGAGGGUAGUGGAAUUCCUGGUGUAGCGGUGAAAUGCGCAGAUAUCAGGAGGAACACCAGUGGCGAAGGCGGUGCUCUGGGCCGGAACUGACGCUGAGGAGCGAAAGCGUGGGGAGCAAACAGG